AGGCAAGAAUGAAAAGGAAAUUGGCCGAUGCAAAGAAACUGGGAAGAUCCAUGUGACAGUUAAUCUCAAAUACUACAGGCCAACUGAAGUGGACUUUCUUCAAGGUGAUUGUACCAAAGCGAAGCAGAAACUCAAGUGGAAACCAAGAGUCACUUUUGACGAGCUGGUCAAGGAGAUGGUGAACGCAGACGUGGAACUUAUGAGGACCAACCCCAAUGCCUGAGUCUUCUCCGACACCUCUCGUAGAAAGUCGUGACUUCAGUGCCAGUGACAAGGCCGGGUUCUACAUUUCCAAGAUGCCGCUGACCAGCUGGGGGUGACAAUGGGUAUUAAUGGGUAUCAGAUGAUUUGCAGCUAUUUCACUUUCCUGUGUGCGACAGAUCAAUUAUCUCCCCCCCCCAAUCUAAACCAUGCAUUGACUUUACACUCCUUGUAGAGGUAGACUGAAGCAAUGGUGUGUGUUUUUUCUCCUGAUCAAAAAAGAAAUUCUGAAAUAUGCAGCCAGAUGCUAGCCGGCUACUC
Gekko japonicus is the source of this 522-nucleotide long non-coding RNA. RefSeq lists it as uncharacterized. NCBI's taxonomy places the organism in Eukaryota, Metazoa, Chordata, Lepidosauria, Squamata, Gekkonidae. The transcript has 3 exons. The record is from RefSeq and is a predicted model, not a curated record.